CCAACGGUCCUCCUCCUCGUAUAGCCACGUGGACAGCCUCUUCUGCGGCCAUGUCAGCAACUCAACCCCAUUCGCCCCAGAAACGACGUCGUUUCACACUACGACCCACUCCCUACAACCACCGUCCACUCAACCUCUCUUCGACCCUCACUCCGGGUACGAGUCGAUGAUUCUAUGAGAUUCUUGCCAUGUGCCUUCGCCAUAUUCGCCACACCUCAAAUCUCCGUUUCUGCAAUUGGCCAUGAAGAGGAUGGAAGCAAUGUGAGAUAGAUUUCGAAAGGACAUUGGGACUUGGGCGUGAGUGAACAGAGGUUUGAUAUGGGGAGAUUUGAGGAGGUUAAUGGGUUCGGAUACAUUGAAUCACAAUCCCGAGAUUGAGGAUUUGUACGAGAAGAUGAUUUUGAAGCUUAAGGAAUUGGCGAGGCUUAUGGACAAGAGUUCAGCUAGGGUUCUUGAGCAGGGACUGAUAUGAGAUCUAUACAACUUUUGACAGGAAGAUCAAAAUGGAAAAUUAAGGUGUAAGCUUGCCGGCUUGCAAUGGUUGUUGGUUGCUCAGAGGAUUUCCACUACUCAUUUAUAGGUUUUAUGUAUAUGCAUAUAUGGUUUUGCUUCUAUGCUAUAUUUUUAUUGGUUUAAUGAUUGACUUAAUACGCAAGUUGUUCUUCUUGUAAUUGCUUUGUUUAUACUAUUGGUUUUUUAAUUUUAUCCAAAAGAAUUAGGAGA
This is a long non-coding RNA of Vitis vinifera (wine grape), 723 nucleotides long. RefSeq lists it as uncharacterized. Lineage: Eukaryota; Viridiplantae; Streptophyta; Magnoliopsida; Vitales; Vitaceae. The transcript is spliced from 2 exons. The record is from RefSeq and is a predicted model, not a curated record.